UCGCACCUGCGGCCUCCAAACCCCUGGUGCAGUUAUGACAGGAAGAACUUCAACUGUCCCAACUCAACUUCAAACUUUCCACCAACCAUUCGAAAUUAUCCCCCGGGACCUCAACCAAAAGCACAAACCAUUUAUAUACCACUACCCAAAGUACCAAUCUUCCAAAUACCUCAAACAACAUCGAACCUAUGAAAUAACAUUGAAUUCAAGCCUAAGAUUCCAAAUUCAUCCGAAUUUUGCUUUUGAUUAAAAAGUCUAUCAAACCACGUUCGAAUGACCUCAAAUUUUGUACACACAUCCCAAAUGACACAACGGAACUAGUGCAACUCUUAGAAUUCCAUUCCGACCCCUAUAUCAAAAUCUCACAUACCAUUCUUGCCAAUUCAAGCCUAAACCAACCACGGACCUCCAAAACACGUUCCGUUCACACUCCUGAGUCCCAAAUCAUCUCCCAAAGCUGUCUAAACCAUCGAAAUAACAUUUGAGACCUAUUUCACAUAAGUAAACAUCCAAUUUCCCAACUUAAACUCAUUCAAAAGAGACUAAGUGUCUCAAACCUCACCGAAUCCUUUCCGAACCCGAGCCAACCAAUCUGCUAACACAUAAUACCUAUAAUUAAAACAAUAAGAGCAGAAAUGGGUGAAACAGAGUGGUAACUCAUGG
Molecule: long non-coding RNA, 663 nt
Filed under: Nicotiana benthamiana
Lineage: Eukaryota; Viridiplantae; Streptophyta; Magnoliopsida; Solanales; Solanaceae
Description: long non-coding RNA (NBEN_LNC042642)
Source: RNAcentral